Long non-coding RNA from Hydra vulgaris (swiftwater hydra), 729 nucleotides. RefSeq lists it as uncharacterized. NCBI's taxonomy places the organism in Eukaryota, Metazoa, Cnidaria, Hydrozoa, Anthoathecata, Hydridae. The record is from RefSeq and is a predicted model, not a curated record.
AUGAUAUCCUCAGAUUACAUAAAAAUGCUUGAAGUUAAUUGUAUGGUAAAUGUUCAUUAAGUAUUAAAAAACGUUUUUUUAUGAUAAAUGUUCUAUUCAGUUUUAGUUCUGGUAAGUUGUUUUUAGCUCUGUUAAGUUGUCAAAAGCUGUGAAAAUAAAAUAGUGAAUUGAGUUUAAAUUAACCAGAAAAGAUAUAAACAUAAUCUCUGGGAUUCAACUUGUAAGGAUGUUCCAAGAACCACUUAGUUGGAGAAGGAAAACUGUGCUGUUUAUUAACAAGUCCGGUGCUUUAUAAUAUAUUUAAAGGUGGUAAGGACGUGAAGAAAACAGGUUUGUAAAUGAUGUUGUACAUCAUGCAGAUAGCUCAGAAGAAGAAGCAGGAAUGUUUGACUGGAAAUAUAAACGAUGUUGUACUUAAUGCAGAUAGCUUAGGCGAAAAAGAGAUUGGUGAAAUGGAGAAUGAGACUAACUACGGUGAAAAAAUAAUGAAUAUCAAAAUGUGAAUGGUACUUUGUUUGACAUCUAUCUGUUUCUACAGACACAAUGCAGUCGCACUUAUAAAUGGGGUUGAUGUUUUUUUGGAUUGAAUAUGUUGUAUUGAUGGUUCUUUUUAACUUGUUAAAACUUUAAGUUAUUAUCAAAUUUAUAUAUACUAUUUUUAUCAAAUAGUUAAUAUAAAAUAAUAAACAUGUAAAUUGUUUUAUUUCCUUUAAAAAAAAUUUUCUUGAU